Long non-coding RNA from Meriones unguiculatus (Mongolian gerbil), 1671 nucleotides. RefSeq lists it as uncharacterized. The transcript is spliced from 2 exons. Lineage: Eukaryota; Metazoa; Chordata; Mammalia; Rodentia; Muridae. The record is from RefSeq and is a predicted model, not a curated record.
GUGGCUAGCUUCAAAAUUACAGCAUUGUUUUCCAUGCUGCAACUGCUCAUGGAAGCUCCUUCAAGCAACAGAUCCUUUCUGAGUAGCCCCCUUGCUCACAGCACCAAGGCCUCUCAGCUUUGUCUUCAUGGAACCAGUGUCAUGGACUGUUGGCUUGUGGCUGUGUCUCACCUCCCUGUGGGCACCUCAGGAACUUCCCUAUGCUCUGAGAGAUGGCUUUCAGACACUCUGUGUCUUGGUCACUGUCUAUGGCUGGGAAGAGAGCCCACAACCCCAUGGUCUUAUAAAACUCAUAUAAAGAAAGCCUUUAAUUGGUGCUGGCUCACAGUUUCAGAGAUGGCAACAUGACAGGGAGCAUGGGGCUGCAUGCAGGCAGACAUGAUAGUGAAGAGGUAGCUGAGGGUUCUAUAUCUGGAUCCACAGACAGCAGGAAGAGACAGACUCUGGGACUGGCUAUGGCUUUUGAAAUCCUAAAAUCCACCCCCAGUGACAGGAUUCCUUCAACAAGACCACACCUACCCCAACAAGGCCACACCUCCUAAUCCUUUCAAACAGUGUCCCUUUUCUAGGCAAUCAAACAUAUGAGCCUAUGCGAGCCAUUCUCAUUCAAAUCCCCACACUCUGGAGAACCACGGGCUUAUCCUAGGAGAAUGAGAAGGUUGUUGAUGCUGACUCCCACCUACUCAACUACAUAAAAUAAGACCAGAACAACCAGAGACUAUCAGAAACUCAGUCAUGAGGGGCCAUGGAUUUGGCAUCUUCCCGGAGGGGCGGAAGUGUCCUUGUCCACUUCCAAAUGUAGUGGCCGCUGAGCACUUCAUCAUCAUGGUCUUCAUCAUCAUGUCGUGUGUUCCUUUCUGGCCUUUGUUCACCUACGACCAACCCUAGGAAGUGAAGACUCAUUGUGAAUUCAUUUCUGACUUUGCCAGGGCUGAGGGAGGGAAGCUUCCCUGACAGGCAAGAGAGAAACGUUAGGUCAAACCAAGAAAAGCAGCAGGGUCAGGCGUAGCACAGCGGAUCCAAGGAAUGUGAGGCAGUGGUCAAAAACACUCUCGUACCUGUGCCCAACAUGACCACUGAGCAGAUAUUUAUAAAUCUUCUCUUUUGUAUCAGACCCUGUUGUGAUCACUUAGGAAACAGACAAUAUUUCCUAGGCUUGUGCUGUUCUUGUUCUAGAAAGAGAAACAGCAAAGCACAGCAAGGGAUGACAAUGCAGUUUAGUUGGAGAAUGUUUGCCUAACAUGCUCAAAGCCCUGGGUUAAGGGGAUCUCAAGUUCAAGGUCAUUCUUGGUUAUAUCAAGACUUUGAGGCUAGCCUGGGCUAUAAGAAAACCACAUGUGGAGAACAGGUCCUGUUCUUCUCCAGCUGUAGCAUGGCUCCAGUCAGUUGAUGGUGUCUGUUUGGGGGAUGGAGGUGAGUUGGGGGCAAUGAAGGGAUGGGGUGCAGGUAGAGAAAGACUCACCUUCCCAUGGGGGCUUGCCACUGGAAAUGUGAUUAUGCUCCAGUGGGCAUAUAGACGACACAAAAUGGGCUUUUUUUUUUUCUCUUUUUUUUGGGGGGGGGUUGUCUAUGGGAGAGGAGGCAGACAUGGGAGGACUGGGAGGUCAGUGUAAUUGGGGUGCAUGAUGUGAGAUUCCCUAAUAAUAAUAAAAAAGAAAUAAACACUAAAAA